AGAAUCAACGCUGGCGGCGUGCCUAAUACAUGCAAGUCGAACGCGAAGACCCCGCAAGGGGUUGGUAGCGUGGCAAACGGGUGAGUAACGCGUGGGCGACCUGCCUUCGAGUGGGGGAUAACCUUCCGAAAGGGAGGCUAAUACCGCAUGACAUGCCGUGUUUAGAUACACGGACAUCAAAGCCGGGGAUCGCAAGACCUGGCGCUUGAAGAGGGGCCUACGUCCGAUUAGCUAGUUGGUGGGGUAAUGGCUCACCAAGGCGACGAUCGGUA
RNAcentral lists this ribosomal RNA (272 nucleotides) under uncultured soil bacterium. Its description in RNAcentral is "partial 16S ribosomal RNA". It matches the Rfam family "Bacterial small subunit ribosomal RNA", at positions 26 to 285 of the family's 1533-position model. The record is from RNAcentral.